GCAAGUCGAGGGGUAACAGAUGAAGAGCUUGCUACAGAUGACGACCGGCGCACGGGUGAGUAACGCGUAUAGAACCUACCUUUUACAGGGGAAUAGCCCAGAGAAAUUUGGAUUAAUGCCCCAUAGUAUUAUUGAAUGGCAUCAUUUAGUAAUUAAACAUUUAUGGGUAAAAGAUGGCUAUGCGUUCUAUUAGCUAGAUGGUAAGGUAACGGCUUACCAUGGCUACGAUAGAUAGGGGUCCUGAGAGGGAGAUC
RNAcentral lists this ribosomal RNA (254 nucleotides) under uncultured bacterium. RNAcentral's name for it is "partial 16S ribosomal RNA". It matches the Rfam family "Bacterial small subunit ribosomal RNA", at positions 57 to 305 of the family's 1533-position model. The record is from RNAcentral.